RNAcentral lists this ribosomal RNA (225 nucleotides) under uncultured Asaia sp. RNAcentral's name for it is "partial 16S ribosomal RNA". It matches the Rfam family "Bacterial small subunit ribosomal RNA", at positions 568 to 792 of the family's 1533-position model. Lineage: Bacteria; Pseudomonadati; Pseudomonadota; Alphaproteobacteria; Acetobacterales; Acetobacteraceae. The record is from RNAcentral.
CGCGUAGGCGGACUGGAAAGUUGGAGGUGAAAUCCCAGGGCUUAACCUUGGGGCUGCAUUUGAUACGUGUAGACUAGAGUGUGAGAGAGGGUUGUGGAAUUCCCAGUGUAGAGGUGAAAUUCGUAGAUAUUGGGAAGAACACCGGUGGCGAAGGCGGCAACCUGGCUCAUUACUGACGCUGAGGCGCGAAAGCGUGGGGAGCAAACAGGAUUAGAUACCCUUGUA